CUCUCUUCUCAGCGUCAUUCACCUCUCACCUCUUCUUCUUCUUCUUCGUUAUCUUCUUUACCAUAUUUUUUUUUCUUCCAAAUGAAUCCGUUGAUUGAUUCCGUUGCAUAUUUUGCUACUCUGUGAUUGCGUUAGCUAAGAAGGAACUCCCUCUUCCACAUGGGGAAGCCUUUCUCCUCUCACUCAGUUGCUCUUGAUGAACUUUCGGUCUUUGAUCGACAAGACAACCUAAGCCAGAUCAGAUUAGGGUUUGUCAGAUCGAGAGACGAAACAACAUGUGUGAGGGAUGAAAGGUUUCCGAAUGAGGCGGAGGGACUUUUUUCUUGGAGAUUGCAGCCACAAGGAAGCAAUAUAUGUGUAAAUAUCGUUUCUUUUUGUUGAUGGAUUAAUAAUGUAAAGGGAUUUGCUGGUCAACCCAUCAUGUGAUCAAAUCCGGACGCUUCACCGGCCUUUCUCGGCAAAUCUUGGACAGAAGGCUCCUUCAAGAACCGAUAUUUCAGCUGAUAAGCAAGAACUCGUGCUUCGGUCGGCGUCAGCGAUAGAGAGUUCAUUUGUUUUGGUUUUUAUCCGAGUCUGGGCAAAUGAAAUUCAGGACCACGUUCGAAUACGGUCUGUAUGUGUAGCGAAUCAUUUUGAUCUUUGAUAGUGUUGAUAUGUGAUGGAAGUCUCUGCAUACAUACAUAUCAUAUCCACAUGUCCAUGACGUUUCCUUCUCCAUACAGAAAUUUCCAAGCUUUCUUUCACGUU
Molecule: long non-coding RNA, 747 nt
Organism: Tarenaya hassleriana
Lineage: Eukaryota; Viridiplantae; Streptophyta; Magnoliopsida; Brassicales; Cleomaceae
Exons: 2
Source: RefSeq, a predicted model, not a curated record